GGUUACACAUGUAGUGCUAUAAAAAAUUUUUGGUAUUAAUUAGUAAAAUUAAAUGAAUUUAAAAAAAAUUUUAUUAGGUGAAAUUUUAAAAUUUUUAUAAAUUUAAAUUUAGAUUACGAAAUUGAUAAACUUUAUUAAUAAACUAGGAUUAGAUACCCUAUUAUUUUUAGUGUAAAUUUUUUAUACCAGAUUAGUAUUAGUUAUAGUCUUGAAAAUUAAAGAAAAUGGCGGUAUUUUAGUCUAUUCAGAGGAACCUGCCCUGUAAUUGAUGAUCCACGAUUUAAAUUACUUAUUUUUAGUUUACAUAUCGCCGUAGUUUGAAUAUUUUUAUAGAAAUUGAAUAUUCAAGAGGUUAUUUUUAAAAAAGAAAUCAGGUCAAGGUGUAGCUUAUAAAUAAGAAGAGGUGGGUUACAAUAAAUUUAUUUAUAUGGAAAAAAGUUUGAAAAAUUUUUUGAAGGUGGAUUUGAAGGUAAUUUUAAUUAAUUUAUUAAAAUGAUUUAAGCUCUAAAAUAUGUACAUAU
RNAcentral lists this ribosomal RNA (521 nucleotides) under Apodrosus quisqueyanus. RNAcentral describes it as "partial 12S ribosomal RNA". Lineage: Eukaryota; Metazoa; Arthropoda; Insecta; Coleoptera; Curculionidae. The record is from RNAcentral.